UCUAUGCGUGGUCUCAGUCUGUCUGUCUAUCCUGUCUUCUGACGAUACUCCCUCGAAAUAACAAUGUUGUCUGUUCCAUGAGUCAAGUUAUAAGUUAAGUUAUUCUUCCUUUUCUUUUUCUUCCAUUCCCUUUUCCCGUUCAUCACCAUUUAUCAAACAUAUUACCUUCAAGCAUAUGAUUAAUACUUGGCAUUUAUAGUUCAUAAUGGCACUUGCACGCGCAACACAUAUUUGUUGUCUGAGACGAGAUCCGUUGCUCUCUGAAACACUUAAUAGUUUACUCUGAGUAUUGACGACAUUUCUUUCUUCACUUGUUGGCAUAUUUGUUUAAGAUUUUCUGAGGUAAUCAAGCAUUACCUUUCGCUUAAAAUGUCAUCAACUUAACCUAAGACCGUUGUCUGUUAGCUCCACCUAAAAAGGCAAGCUUAUUCAUUUGAUCUAGGCAAUGGUUUAUUAUUGGAAAUAAUUAGUUUGGUUAUGCUUUAGCUCCUCUUUGUAUCAAAUGAUCUUUUGAGCACUAAUUAGCUGCUUUGACUUGCAGAAUAGCUUAUAUGGCUGAUGUUUGAAGACAAUGGUCAACUGAAGCCCACAGCCGUGUAUAAAAGGUCAUUAUUGAGGAUAUGUUCUGUGGUAAAGUUUUAAAAACUCAGUUUAUUUGUGCAAAAGAUCCUUUGGAUACACGUGCCCUGGUGGCCUAGUAACUAGUUUUCAAAACUCCAAGGGAGGGGCCCUUUACCAAAGAGGAGUUGGAUGAAGUUCCAGACAAGUGGGCUAUUUACUUCAACGAUUGUGAACUACCCUCAGUGUAAUAAAUAGAGCAGGCUUGUAGUUAUUCGUGACUCUUACAUUAUUUUGUUAUUUAUCGAUUUAAUUAAUUACAUUUGAAUUAAUUCGGUAAUAUUAUUGGAAAUUUGAAAUUUAUAUCAUUUUUGAGAAUGUCAA
Long non-coding RNA from Spinacia oleracea (spinach), 942 nucleotides. RefSeq lists it as uncharacterized. NCBI's taxonomy places the organism in Eukaryota, Viridiplantae, Streptophyta, Magnoliopsida, Caryophyllales, Amaranthaceae. The record is from RefSeq and is a predicted model, not a curated record. The transcript is spliced from 2 exons.